Molecule: unclassified non-coding RNA, 205 nt
Filed under: uncultured fungus
Lineage: Eukaryota; Fungi
Description: sequence contains ITS1
Source: RNAcentral
UUAACUUAUUUAGCUAAUUGCUCAGACUGCAAUCUUCAGACAGCGUUCAAUGGUGUCUUCGGCGGGCGCGGGCCCGGGGGCGAAUGCCCCCCGGCGGCCGUGAGGCGGGCCCGCCGAAGCAACAAGGUAAAUAAACACGGGUGGGAGGUUGGACCCAGAGGGCCCUCACUCGGUAAUGAUCCUUCCGCAGGUUCACCUACGGAAA